UGGCGGCAGUAGCGCGGUGGUCCCACCUGACCCCAUGCCGAACUCAGAAGUGAAACGCCGUAGCGCCGAUGGUAGUGUGGGGUCUCCC
This 88-nucleotide ribosomal RNA is filed under the name Escherichia coli. Lineage: Bacteria; Pseudomonadati; Pseudomonadota; Gammaproteobacteria; Enterobacterales; Enterobacteriaceae. The record is from RNAcentral.